This 2007-nucleotide long non-coding RNA is filed under the name Callithrix jacchus (white-tufted-ear marmoset). RNAcentral's name for it is "lncRNA (ENSCJAG00000071206.1)". Lineage: Eukaryota; Metazoa; Chordata; Mammalia; Primates; Cebidae. The record is from RNAcentral.
ACCUAUAGCAGCUGCGGAAAAGUGAGGGAUGCUACCAGUUUCUUUUUCUGCUAUCUUUGUCCCAGAAUGAUGCCUGCCAAAUGUCAGUCUUUUGGAUAUAGAGGGGUCAGGGAGCUGCUUGAGGAGACAGUCUGUAUUUUGUAGGAGCUCAAUUGCUGAGCUGUGAGCUCUGUUGUUCAUUCAGGGCUGAUAGGCUGAAAAAAACCCUUUUUUUCUCAGAUGCUCUGUGGGGGAGAGGUGGGUUGAGGCUUUCCUUGUGAGUUUCCGCCUCGCUGUCCUGCCCAGCUAGGAGGCAGUCAAAUCACUAUUUGCCUGCCGAGGCUCCGCUCUGCUGGUGUGAGGUUCACCCUGUUGCUGUAGUCUCUGCCCUUCUGCUGCGGUCACCGCCCUGUUGCCACGGUCUCCACCCUUUUGCCACGGGCUAUGCCCUGUAGCGGAGUCUCUUUGUUGUACCGGGUUGCUUCGGCAACGGCAGGCUACAUCAGCAAUGGGCGUGUACCUCAGUGGGGGCUGAUUGCCUCAGUAAUGCCAGACGCCCCUCCCCCGUGGAGCUGCGCUUUAAGAAAACCUCCUCAACGGGAGGGUUUGGAAUCGCCGUUUUCUUUGUCACACUGCGCUAGCCCAAAUGCUUUGUCCCUGGGAUUUCCUGGGCUGGCUCACUUCCCAAGUCCUGUUCAGUCUCAAGUUUAGCCCUCUCAGGUCUCAGUUUGUUGGUUCAACAGGGCACCCGUAACAGUGCGCUUUUGUAUGGAGCGCUGUGGAGCGCCUCUGCGCUCCGGCGCGGGCCGGAGCCACACCGGCUGCCGGCUACACCAGCUGAGACCUCUGCCUGGCGUCCCGCGUCUCUUUUAUACCUGGGAAUUUUCCCGUUCUGUGGGCAACUAAGAUUCGUCUGGAAAUGCAUCCCCAACUCACCCUCUCCACGCAUCCGAGUCCAAAUAAAUUAAAGUUGUGAUUUUAAAUAACUGCAAAUCAAUGAUUCCAAAAAUGUUAUCUGUGGCCCAGACCUGGACUCCUGAUGUGUCUGUACAGCUCCAUCUGGAAUCUAACAAGUGUAUCAACUCUUGCUCAUCUGAAACUGAAAUGGAAGACCACAGCCUGGACGACAGCACAUCUGUAACAGCGCGAUUUACUGACAGUUUAAGCCCACUGUUGAGACCUACUGCUAAGAAGAAGUAUGAUUGUUUUAAAAAUAUUGCUGCUCAUCGACAAUUCACCUGGUCACUCGGGAACUUGGAUGGAGAUGUUUAGGGAAAGUAAUGUUUUCAUGUCUGCUAAUACAGUAUCCACUCUCCAGCCCAGGGAUCCAGGAGCAGUUUGACUCUCAAGUCUUACUAUUAAAUGAGAAAUGCAUUUGAUAAAGGUAUAGCUGUCCUAGAUAGUGAUUUCUUUGAUGGACAAAGUGAAUUGAAAACCUUUUGGAAAGGAUUCACCAUUCUAGAUGCCAUUAAGGACAUUUGUAAUUCAUGGGGGGAGGUUGAAAUAUCAACAGUGACAGGCGUUUGGAAGAAGUUGAUUCCAAGCCUCAUGGAUGACUUUGAGGGUUCAGGAUGUCAGUGGAAGGAGUCCCUGCAGAUGUGGUAGAUAGCAAGACAACUAGAAGUAGAAUUAGAGCCUUAAGGUGGGAUGAAAUUGAUGUGAAAUCAUGAUAAAACUUGAACAAAGGGGGAGUUGCUUCUUAUGGAUGAGAAAAGAAAAUAUUUUCUUGAGAGAGAAACUACUCCAGGUUGAGAUGUCAUGAACAUUGUUGAAACGACAACAAAGGGUUAAAAUAUUCCAUAAACCUAGUUGGUAAAGCAGCAACAGGGUUUGAGAAGGUUUACUCCAAUUUUGAAGGAAGUUCUACUAUGGCUAAAAUGCUGUCAAACAGUAUCACAUGCUACAGGGAAAUGUUGUGUGGAAGGAACAGUGUAUCAAUGCAACACACUUCAUUGUCUUAUUUUAAGAAAUUGCCACAGGCACCCCAAUCUUCAGCAGCAGCCAUCAAUAUAGAUGCAAGAUCCUCAC